This 492-nucleotide ribosomal RNA is filed under the name uncultured bacterium. RNAcentral describes it as "partial 16S ribosomal RNA". It matches the Rfam family "Bacterial small subunit ribosomal RNA", at positions 29 to 507 of the family's 1533-position model. The record is from RNAcentral.
AGUGAACGCUGGCGGUAUGCCUAACACAUGCAAGUCGAACGGCAGCACAGUAAGAGCUUGCUCUUACGGGUGGCGAGUGGCGGACGGGUGAGGAAUACAUCGGAAUCUACUUUUUCGUGGGGGAUAACGUAGGGAAACUUACGCUAAUACCUCAUACUACCUACGGGUGAAAGCAGGGGAUCUUCGGACCUUGCGCGAUUGAAUGAGCCGAUGUCGGAUUAGCUAGUUGGCGGGGUAAAGGCCCACCAAGGCGACGAUCCGUAGCUGGUCUGAGAGGAUGAUCAGCCACACUGGAACUGAGACACGGUCCAGACUCCUACGGGAGGCAGCAGUGGGGAAUAUUGGACAAUGGGCGCAAGCCUGAUCCAGCAAUACCGCGUGGGUGAAGAAGGCCUUCGGGUUGUAAAGCCCUUUUGUUGGGAAAGAAAAGCAGCAGGUUAAUACCCCGCUGUUCUGACGGUACCCAAAGAAUAAGCACCGGCUAACUUCGUG